UGGUGUUACAUUAAAAUAACUCCGACGUCUUCUUGGGUGAAGGUUCACUUGCGGUGACUCGGUUACGACCGCUGUCCACAACUUCUUUCCACUGUCUCGCCAACCAUGUCUGGUCGCGUUCUCGUCGGUGUCAAGCGUGUCAUUGACUACGCAGUUAAGAUCCGGGUAAAGCCGGACAAGACUGGCGUGGUGACCGAUGGCGUGAAGCACUCGAUGAACCCCUUCUGCGAGAUCGCCGUGGAGGAGGCGGUCAAGCUGAAGGAGAAGAAGCUUAUCAAGGAGAUUGUGGCGGUGAGCUGCGGGCCACAGCAGGCACAGGAGACCAUCCGCACCGCCCUCGCCAUGGGAGCCGACCGCGGCAUUCACGUGGAGGUGUCUGGCAAAGACUACGACAACUUGGGCCCCCUGCAGGUCUCCAAGAUCAUGGCUGCAUUGGCCAAGAAGGAGGAGGCCCAGCUUGUAAUUCUUGGGAAACAGGCCAUCGAUGACGACUGCAAUCAGACGGGACAAAUGACAGCAGCCCUACUGGACUGGCCUCAGGGCACGUUUGCGUCAGAAGUGACGCUGGAAGGCGACAAAGUGAAAGUGGUGCGCGAGAUUGACGGCGGCCUGGAGACCAUCAAGAUCAACAUGCCCGCUGUAGUCACGGCGGACCUCCGACUCAAUACGCCUCGCUACGCCACCCUGCCUAAUAUCAUGAAAGCCAAGAAGAAGAAAAUUGCAAACGUGAAGCCCUCCGAGCUGGGCGUGGAUCUGACGUCCCGCCUGGAAGUGCUGCAGGUGGACGAGCCUCCGCAGAGGCAGGCUGGCAUCAAAGUGGAGACGGUGGACGACUUGGUGGGCAAACUCAGGGAGACGGGCAGCAUAUAACGUGGUCAGAAAGCGAAUGGCGAGAAGAAUAGAACGGCAAGGUAAGUAGCAGGGGGUCUUUCAGGGAUUGUGCACACGUGGCUAAAGUACAAACUCCCAAAUCCAAUUAUUUCUUAUUAUUUUGGGGGUGGAAGGUGGGCUUAUUCUCGCCACAUCUCAUUCGUAUUUUACUCUUCUGAUUGUGAUUGGGGGCGCGUUCGGAAAUUCACUCUGUCCUAAAAAGCUAACUUAGCAUAUCCAACACAUCGUUUUUGUUUUUUGUUUUUUUUUUUAAUUGCGACUGCUUCUAAUUGAACGCAUGCCUUUUGUUUCUCUCUCACAGGACAAGUACUGAGAAACACUGCCCUGCUGCCGGUGCAGUCGCACCACCUCAUUUUUUUUUUUU
Molecule: RNA transcript, 1255 nt
Organism: Hippocampus zosterae (dwarf seahorse)
Lineage: Eukaryota; Metazoa; Chordata; Actinopteri; Syngnathiformes; Syngnathidae
Gene name: electron transfer flavoprotein subunit beta-like
Exons: 7
Source: RefSeq, a predicted model, not a curated record